CUUUCGCCACAUAAACUUAUAUGGGAAAGCCAAUGCUACAAAAAUUCCUUUUCUCACUAUGGCUCUCGAUGGGGAGAAAGCUUUUGACCGAGUUAGCUGGGACUUUAUGAGAACAACUUUAGAGGGUUUAUGGGUUUUUCGGGACGGAUUCUUUAGGCAAUUAUGGCCCUUUAUCCCUCCCCAUCGAGCAGGAUAGUGGGAGAGGGAAUUAGGUCUGAAUGGUUUGAUAUAUAUUAAAUGGCACUCGCCAAGGCUGUCCACUUUCUCCACUCCUCUAUAUCCUAGUGGCCGAACCAUUAGCACAUGAAAUUCAUUCAAAUUCAAAAAUAAGGGGCUUUCAAAUUUAAGAUUAAUCAAUAUGCGG
This is a non-coding RNA of Pelobates cultripes (western spadefoot toad), 364 nucleotides long. NCBI's taxonomy places the organism in Eukaryota, Metazoa, Chordata, Amphibia, Anura, Pelobatidae. The record is from the annotation of a GenBank genome assembly.